RNAcentral lists this ribosomal RNA (329 nucleotides) under Salmonella enterica subsp. enterica serovar Kentucky. RNAcentral describes it as "partial 23S ribosomal RNA". It matches the Rfam family "Bacterial large subunit ribosomal RNA", at positions 1216 to 1547 of the family's 2925-position model. The record is from RNAcentral. Lineage: Bacteria; Pseudomonadati; Pseudomonadota; Gammaproteobacteria; Enterobacterales; Enterobacteriaceae.
AUGCGUUGUUGGGUAGGGGAGCGUUCUGUAAGCCUGCGAAGGUGGCCUGUGAGGGUUGCUGGAGGUAUCAGAAGUGCGAAUGCUGACAUAAGUAACGAUAAAGCGGGUGAAAAGCCCGCUCGCCGGAAGACCAAGGGUUCCUGUCCAACGUUAAUCGGGGCAGGGUGAGUCGACCCCUAAGGCGAGGCCGAAAGGCGUAGUCGAUGGGAAACGGGUUAAUAUUCCCGUACUUGGUGUUACUGCGAAGGGGGGACGGAGAAGGCUAUGUUGGCCGGGCGACGGUUGUCCCGGUUUAAGCGUGUAGGUGUGUGUUCCAGGUAAAUCCGGUU